AGCAGUCGCCGCGGUAAUACAGAGGGUGCGAGCGUUAAUCGGAUUUACUGGGCGUAAAGCGCACGCAGGCGGUCUGACAAGUCAGAUGUGAAAUCCCCGGGCUUAACCUGGGAACUGCAUUUGAAACUGUCAGGCUGGAGUCUUGUAGAGGGGGGUGGAAUUCCAGGUGUAGCGGUGAAAUGCGUAGAGAUCUGGAGGAAUACCGGUGGCGAAGGCGGCCCCCUGGACAAAGACUGACGCUCAGGUGCGAAAGCGUGGGGAGCAAACAGGAUUAGAUACCCCGGUAGUCCCUGUCUCUUAUAC
Molecule: ribosomal RNA, 303 nt
Filed under: uncultured bacterium
Lineage: Bacteria
Description: partial 16S ribosomal RNA
Rfam family: Bacterial small subunit ribosomal RNA
Source: RNAcentral